GUGUCAGCCGCCGCGGUAAGACGUAGGGGGCGAGCGUUGUCCGGAAUUACUGGGCGUAAAGCGCGUGCAGGCGGUCCGUUAAGUCCCGUGUUAAAGCCUCCAGCUCAACUGGGGAAUGCCGCGGGAGACUGGCGGGCUUGAGGGCGGUAGAGGGUGAUGGAAUUCCCGGUGUAGCGGUGAAAUGCGUAGAUAUCGGGAGGAACGCCAGUGGCGAAGGCGGUCACCUGGGCCGUCCCUGACGCUGAGACGCGAAAGCUGGGGGAGCAAACGGGAUUAGAUACCCCCGUAGUCC
RNAcentral lists this ribosomal RNA (292 nucleotides) under uncultured bacterium. RNAcentral describes it as "partial 16S ribosomal RNA". It matches the Rfam family "Bacterial small subunit ribosomal RNA", at positions 505 to 796 of the family's 1533-position model. The record is from RNAcentral.